GUGCCAGCCGCCGCGGUAAUACGUAGGGUGCAAGCGUUGUCCGGAAUUAUUGGGCGUAAAGAGCUCGUAGGCGGCUUGUCGCGUCUGCUGUGAAAUCCCGGGGCUCAACUCCGGGCCUGCAGUGGGUACGGGCAAGCUAGAGUGCGGUAGGGGAGAUUGGAAUUCCUGGUGUAGCGGUGGAAUGCGCAGAUAUCAGGAGGAACACCGAUGGCGAAGGCAGAUCUCUGGGCCGUAACUGACGCUGAGGAGCGAAAGCAUGGGGAGCGAACAGGAUUAGAAACCCUUGUAGUCC
Molecule: ribosomal RNA, 292 nt
Filed under: uncultured bacterium
Lineage: Bacteria
Description: partial 16S ribosomal RNA
Rfam family: Bacterial small subunit ribosomal RNA
Source: RNAcentral